Molecule: ribosomal RNA, 397 nt
Filed under: Hyalomma dromedarii
Lineage: Eukaryota; Metazoa; Arthropoda; Arachnida; Ixodida; Ixodidae
Description: partial 12S ribosomal RNA
Source: RNAcentral
AAACUAGGAUUAGAUACCCUAUUAUUGAGAAUAAUAAAUUGUAAGUAAAUAUAAAUUACGAAAGCAAAAAAUUAUGGCGGUAUCUUAAGCUUUUCAGAGGAAUUUGCUCUUUAAUGGAUAAAACACCCAAAUCUUACUUAGAUUGGUUGAGCAGUUUGUAUACCACUAUAAAAAUUAUAAUUGACUUUUAUUAUUUCUCUUUUUAUAAAGAAAUAAAUUAAGUCAAGGUGCAGCUAAAAUUUAAGGUUGAAGUGAAUUACAUUUCUUUAAAGAAAUUAAAACAAUGAAAUUAAUAUAGGAUUUGAUAGUAAAAUUAAAAUAGAAGGUUAAUUUGAAUUAAGCUCUAAGAUAUGUACAUAUCGCCCGUCACUCUUUUCUAAGAUAAGUCGUAACAUAG